Molecule: ribosomal RNA, 263 nt
Filed under: uncultured archaeon
Lineage: Archaea
Description: partial 16S ribosomal RNA
Rfam family: Archaeal small subunit ribosomal RNA
Source: RNAcentral
AGUCACUGACAUUAGAUACCCGCGUAGUCCCAGCCGUAAACAAUGUGCGUUAGGCAUGUCGGUAACCACGUGUUACUGAUGUGCCGAAGAGAAAUCGUGAAACGCACCACCUGGGAAGUACGGUCGCAAGGCUGAAACUUAAAGGAAUUGGCGGGGAGCACCACAACAGGUGGAGCCUGCGGUUUAAUUGGAUUCAACGCCGGACAUCUCACCGGAUAAGACAGCUGAAUGAUUGUCAAUCUGAAGGUUUACAUGACUAGCUG